CCUACGGGGGGCAGCAGUAGGGAAUCUUCCGCAAUGGGCGAAAGCCUGACGGAGCAACGCCGCGUGAGUGAUGAAGGUCUUCGGAUCGUAAAACUCUGUUGUUAGGGAAGAACAAAUUUGUUAGUAACUGAACAAGUCUUGACGGUACCUAACCAGAAAGCCACGGCUAACUACGUGCCAGCAGCCGCGGUAAUACGCAGGUGGCGAGCGUUAUCCGGAAUUAUUGGGCGUAAAGCGCGCGUAGGCGGUUUCUUAAGUCUGAUGUGAAAGCCCACGGCUC
This 280-nucleotide ribosomal RNA is filed under the name uncultured bacterium. RNAcentral describes it as "partial 16S ribosomal RNA". It matches the Rfam family "Bacterial small subunit ribosomal RNA", at positions 338 to 610 of the family's 1533-position model. The record is from RNAcentral.